This 77-nucleotide transfer RNA is filed under the name Chloroflexota bacterium. Its description in RNAcentral is "tRNA-Val". It matches the Rfam family "tRNA". From Rfam's summary of the family: Transfer RNA (tRNA) molecules are approximately 80 nucleotides in length. Their secondary structure includes four short double-helical elements and three loops (D, anti-codon, and T loops). RNAcentral also lists the same sequence under 1 other name. The record is from RNAcentral. Lineage: Bacteria; Bacillati; Chloroflexota.
GGGCGGUUAGCUCAGUUGGCUAGAGCGCUUGCUCGACACGCAAGAGGUCACUGGUUCAAGUCCAGUACCGCCCACCA